Long non-coding RNA from Podarcis raffonei (Aeolian wall lizard), 1063 nucleotides. RefSeq lists it as uncharacterized. The record is from RefSeq and is a predicted model, not a curated record. The transcript is spliced from 3 exons. NCBI's taxonomy places the organism in Eukaryota, Metazoa, Chordata, Lepidosauria, Squamata, Lacertidae.
GAGAGAAGGCACGGCAAGCAUUUUUUUGUUUAAUAAAAGUGGGAUAUUUCUGGAGCAGAAAUUAUGAGAACAGAAUGAUCGGUAGGCAGAAAGCUGCAAUGGCAGGAGCUACAGAAUCCAGGGCCGGGACACGUAGGUGUAGAAUAUAUGGGUGCGUUCGUUUUUUCAGAGAAUUGAACGUACUUUGCUAAGUUAUUGCUGCCCAUGGUGUGCAUACUCAUCCCACUCUAGGAUAAAGGAGAUCAAAAAAAUCCCAGAGUAUCUAAUUUUAAUUCCUUUGUUUUGUUUUUGUUGGGCUGGUGUUGGUUAAAUGUUUAGCUGGAGUUGGUGGUUAUUUUAACUUGGGUGUAACUGUAAACUCUUUAUUGUUGUUGUUACUGAUUUCUAUUGAUUUAUUGGUUGGUUUGUUGCUUGUGUAGGAUAUUUUGUUUUUUAAUGUUUAAUGUUUUGUUGCGUUUCUGUAUGUGUUGUAAGCUGCCCAGAGUGGCUGCGGAAACCCGGCCAGAUGGAUGGGAUAUAAUUUUUUUAAAAAUAAAACAUUAUCUCACCUAAGAUCCAAACAUUAAAAUGGUAAUCAGUGAUCCCAUGUGUUCAAUCCACCUUCAGAAGCGAAGGCUAAUCUCUGGAGUGUAGAUGUGUUCUAUGGUUGGGAUAAAAACCAGACUGCCCACAGAUGAGAAGUCACUUUCUCUUUGUUAGUUCCAUCUAAGAGGACACUGUUGUUGCUCGAGGAUCACUGUGGCUAGGCAUGGCUCACAUUUGGCUACUUGCAUCUUGCAUUUUUCUCUGCUUCGUAGCAGGAGAUGCUGUUGUCUGCCGACAGUGUACUACCAUGAGGCCAUGGAUACCAUGCAGGCCGUUAGGGAGAAGAUGCGCUGCCAUAAAGAACAAAAUGAUCUGCAUAAUCUUGAAAGUCUACAAAGGUUUCCAGCUGUGGCAGAAGGUCAUGGGCUGCACGAAUGUGGAUGACGACAGGUGUGGCCAAUGGAAUUUUGACAAGCGCACUAAGAAACUGUACGCAUUCUCCUGUUGCGCCGAUAAAAAUUAUUGCACUCAGCAAUAA